UCUUGUUGUUGUUUUGUUAUUCGAGGGAAGGGAUGGAGUUUGAAACCGUGUCUGUGCUUAUGAACGUGUGUGCCUGUGCAAAUAACUGAUAAUAUCACCGAAUCCAGCUUUAAAUAGCACCAUAGAGAGUGAAGAGACACCUUUGAGCUGUCUGGACUGCACCGACAGCUGCUCUCACAAACCAUCCAGAGACGAACCACAGCAGGACAUGAACCCAGAUGAUCUCUUGUUAACACGAUCAUGACAACGAGCCCAAACAUUCGAGCCAAAGUCAUAAAGAAGUAUCUUCAGUGACAAGAAGAACAAGGAGUGCUGCAACAGAUGGUACGGCCCCCUCAGAGCCCUGAUCUCAACAUCAUGGAGUCAGUCUGGGAUCACAUGAGGAGACGGAAACAGCUGAGACGCCUAAAUCCACAGAAGAACUGCGGCAACUUCUCCAAGAUGCAGGAACAACAGACCUGCCAAGUACCU
Long non-coding RNA from Thunnus maccoyii (southern bluefin tuna), 471 nucleotides. RefSeq lists it as uncharacterized. The transcript is spliced from 3 exons. NCBI's taxonomy places the organism in Eukaryota, Metazoa, Chordata, Actinopteri, Scombriformes, Scombridae. The record is from RefSeq and is a predicted model, not a curated record.